This 305-nucleotide long non-coding RNA is filed under the name Setaria viridis. Its description in RNAcentral is "long non-coding RNA (SVIR_LNC002568)". The record is from RNAcentral. Lineage: Eukaryota; Viridiplantae; Streptophyta; Magnoliopsida; Poales; Poaceae.
UCGUGCAUUAAAUUCGCUUCUUCGUCUGCUCCAUCUCCUGCACGUCGACUUGUCUGCUCGAAGAACUGGACCACCCCAGCAGCCCGCCGGUACAGUACAGGAGUUGCUAUACGACAGUUAUCCGUAUAAUCCAAUUUGAUCUCUGUCCUUGUUGCUUUUAUUUUCAUUUCCAUUUUGCCGAAACCCUUUCCCCCCCCCCUUUUACAGGACAAGCUAUAAGCAAAGAUAAUACCUGUAUUUGCUUGGAUAAUAUAAAUACGAAAGAUUUUUACAAGAUGCGGCCCUGGUAGUGGGGGCCACACAGU